CGAUUUGUUCGGUAUGCACAUAUAGCACCGGCACCGCCGCUGCGUACCAGUGUAACCGGGAGAAGGAGAGACCGGGGGUGGGCGGGUGGCGCCAGAGGGCUUGCUCGUCCAACGCCGCGCGCCAGAGGGCUCUGCCUGGCGUCGCUGCGUCCUCGGCCGCUGCGUCGACGUUGCUGUAGUGUCGUGGGCUGGUCGUGCUACCGGUGCCGCCGCGGUGGAGAUCGCCGUUUUAGGCGCCGGCCAUUGGUUACACCGAGGACACGCCGCCUGUACUGGAGGGUAUGCCGCGCCGUGGUCGUGCUCCGCCUGAGGGAGGAGCGCCGCGUCGAAUGCUACAUCCGAGAGGUGGAGGACGCCGUCGUCGCCAAACGCCGAGGCACACCAGGAAGGACAUCAGCAGCAGCAGCAGCAGAGCGACGGAAGCCCAUACAUGCAUACAUACACAGAGGCAGAGGCAGCGGCAGAGGCAGAGAGAGUCAGCCACCAAUGGCUGGCACACAAUACAAUGCGACGCGACACGACACGACACGACGCGAGGCGAUGUGAUGCCAUGGCAGGAGCGGCGCGCAGUGCAGUGCCAUGAUGAGUGAUGAGGUUCGUUACGCUGACAUGCAUGCCUGCCAGUGGCAGCGCUGGCGGAUGAAGAGGAAGGUGAUGGAUGGGUCCCCAGCUUGGUCGCGUCCUUGUCCGCCUAGUCGCCUCCGCGCACCCCUCCCAUUUCCGUGCAUACUCACAAAAAUGAGACAACCUAUUUUCAUCUUGUAUAAUAACACAAGGGAGGCC
Molecule: ribosomal RNA, 783 nt
Filed under: Triticum aestivum (bread wheat)
Lineage: Eukaryota; Viridiplantae; Streptophyta; Magnoliopsida; Poales; Poaceae
Description: partial small subunit ribosomal RNA
Source: RNAcentral